UACGUAGGGUGCAAGCGUUAAUCGGAAUUACUGGGCGUAAAGCGUGCGCAGGCGGCUUUGCAAGACAGAUGUGAAAUCCCCGGGCUCAACCUGGGAACUGCAUUUGUGACUGCAAGGCUAGAGUACGGUAGAGGGGGAUGGAAUUCCGCGUGUAGCAGUGAAAUGCGUAGAUAUGCGGAGGAACACCGAUGGCGAAGGCAAUCCCCUGGACCUGUACUGACGCUCAUGCACGAGAGCGUGGGGAGCAAACAGG
RNAcentral lists this ribosomal RNA (253 nucleotides) under uncultured bacterium. RNAcentral describes it as "partial 16S ribosomal RNA". It matches the Rfam family "Bacterial small subunit ribosomal RNA", at positions 524 to 776 of the family's 1533-position model. The record is from RNAcentral.